GGGCCCGCACAAGUGGUGGAGCAUGUGGUUUAAUUCGAUGCAACGCGAAGAACCUUACCAACCCUUGAAAUCUAGCGAAGUUCACAGAGAUGAGAAUGUGCCUUCGGGAACGCUAUGACAGGUGUUGCAUGGCUGUCGUCAGCUCGUGUCGUGAGAUGUAUGGUUAAGUCCAGUAACGAGCGCAACCCCUAUCCUUAUUUGCCAGCGCGUUAAGGCGGGAACUAUAGGGAGACUGCCGGGUGAAACCCGGAGGAAGGCGGGGACGAGGUCAAGUCAUCAUGGCCCUUAUGGGUUGGGCUACACACGUGCUACAAUGGGAAGUACAGAGGGAUGCGAAAGCGCGAGCUGGAGCCAAACCCAAAAAGUGCGUCGUAGUCCGGAUCGGAGUCUGCAACUCGACUCCGUGAAGUCGGAAUCGCUAGUAAUCG
RNAcentral lists this ribosomal RNA (428 nucleotides) under uncultured bacterium. RNAcentral describes it as "bacterial SSU rRNA". It matches the Rfam family "Bacterial small subunit ribosomal RNA", at positions 917 to 1344 of the family's 1533-position model. The record is from RNAcentral.